Long non-coding RNA from Panicum hallii, 1674 nucleotides. RefSeq lists it as uncharacterized. The record is from RefSeq and is a predicted model, not a curated record. Lineage: Eukaryota; Viridiplantae; Streptophyta; Magnoliopsida; Poales; Poaceae. The transcript is spliced from 2 exons.
CUUCGGGGCUGACGCUAACGUGUGCCCGCAGCUGGCGAGGGAUUGAAAGACCGAGGCCUGCUUAGGCCUCGUUCGUUUGUGUAGGAUUGACCCGUUCCGGGUGGAUUGUUGCGGCCCGUUUUCAAUCCAGAUAUGAAUUGGAAUGAUUGUUCGUUUUGGUUGGCCUGGAAAGAAAACUGGCCCGGCUUGGCCUUCCCCUACACUCCACGGCACGGAUCAUAGCCUCGUGUCUUACCCUCCGGAUCGGAUCCUGGAGGCCUUGCGAGCGACGGCUGGGGUUGAGGCGACGACGCAGUUGGCGGCGGCGCGAGUCGACGAGCGCGGCGGCGUGGCACAGCUUCGACGGCGGCCAUCUCCCAUCCAACGUCCACCGUCUCCGCCACCUUCUCGCCAAACAUUAAGGUCAACAAGCUUGUUAAAGGACGCCCAUUGGACAAAUUGGAAUUUCUUCAGUGGUUGAGAAGAUAUUGUGAUUCUGUAAACGGUGGAAUUACGAACGAGUAGGUGUAAAUCCUGAUCAUGUUUACGGUAAUAAAAAGUUGCCCCUUACAAAGGAUUUGAGAAUAAUUCAUCUGACCUUUGAUUAAGUGCUUGUCUAUAACUAAAUAACAAGGCUGCAUCUAGAAACCAUCAUUUUCUUUGUCGGUGUAGUUGGUUGCAUACUAUUCUGAAUAAAAUUGUCAUAAUCCCUAUUGUAUUUCUUUUAUUAAACCGAAAGAAUUCACCUCUCCCUUCCUCCUUAAAAUGGCCACACGGUCCUGUCACACUCACUCUAGCUCUCAAUCCCAUCUUACGCAAAUGACAACUUGUCCACCAGGUGAAGGCGAUACAUUCCUGUGUGGAUCCAUGCUUGGGGGACCGAAAUAUGAACCACUGAGGGUUCCUUUUUUAAAUUUUCCAGAGGAGUUGUCACGUCGCCUUUCUAGAUCAUUAUCUGAAUCACCUUUUAGAAUGCAGUGGAAGGUAAGAUUCUUCUCCCACCAGUGGAAAAUGGGCUAGCUGCGGAAAUUGCCAGGCUUCUUCCGGGUUCUAUUCGAAGAGACUCCAUGCUAAACUUUCUCUACUGGUCACAACUGUCACUACACUGAACCCAGCCUGCCCUUUUGGACCCCAUAUGAUCUUUGAUGCAAUAGCUUGGAUGCUAGGAAAGUUACAUGAAACCAUGAUCUUUCUUUUUCUUUACUUUUUUUUUAGUUCACACAGGACCGGGUCGAGAAUCGUCCCCGUAAAAGCAUGAAGGUGAAUCUGACCUGCAAGACGAAGCUCAAUGUAUAUGAUCAUCAUGUUCGGUUGUCCACGUGUAGUCAGCAGUGCGCCAUGACGCAAGUGGCUGCCCUGCCGCGCCAUGUCCAUGGAUGCCCCGGAAGGUGCUGGAAGGGAAGCCCGCUUGCUCUAUCUGGACACUGCGCUUGGAUUGGCUCGUAUCCUUGUGUGCAUUCAGUUCAUUCAGUUAGGCUCGAUUGCGACAUCAUGUCGAUGGGGGUGGCAAUGCAAGCUCCCCAAGUCUAGCACGAGGCUGUUACGGCACAUUUUGUCGUCUACGGAUGUUCUCUCCCCACGUUUUCCUACCUGCUCUGAAGAUGUGUCUUGACUAGCGUGUGUUUCUAUGAUCAGACACACAUAAAAUUUAUGGUUCUAUCUGCGUUUAACGAGAAGUGCUAGCAGUUUAUUGUA